Molecule: long non-coding RNA, 252 nt
Filed under: Pelobates cultripes (western spadefoot toad)
Lineage: Eukaryota; Metazoa; Chordata; Amphibia; Anura; Pelobatidae
Source: RNAcentral
GUCAGCUGACUGCUUUUAACCUGUCAGAGCUCCAACUGACGGUAUGAAUGGGUAUGACAACAAGGAAGUGUGUAAUCUCUGCCUUAGCUACACAUACAGAAGGGGCCGGACUGUGGGUGGCCAGGGACUCUUAUUUUGUGGCAUACUGCACAAACAUGGUGCAACACUGAAUGGAGGGACAGUGCCAGGGCACUUCAGGCACUACAACCAAUUCAAAGAGACAAAGUGGUUAUAGUGACUACAGUGUCCCUU